RNAcentral lists this ribosomal RNA (253 nucleotides) under uncultured bacterium. Its description in RNAcentral is "partial 16S ribosomal RNA". It matches the Rfam family "Bacterial small subunit ribosomal RNA", at positions 524 to 776 of the family's 1533-position model. The record is from RNAcentral.
GACAGAGGGUGCAAACGUUGUUCGGAAUUACUGGGCGUAAAGCGCAUGUAGGCGGCUCGGAAAGUCGGAUGUGAAAGCCCAGGGCUCAACUCUGGAAGUGCACUCGAAACUCCCGAGCUGGAGUCCCGGAGAGGAAGGCGGAAUUCUCGGUGUAGAGGUGAAAUUCGUAGAUAUCGAGAGGAACACCUGUGGCGAAGGCGGCCUUCUGGACGGUGACUGACGCUGAGAUGCGAAAGCGUGGGGAGCAAACAGG